RNAcentral lists this small RNA (108 nucleotides) under Salmonella enterica. Its description in RNAcentral is "partial RtT sRNA". It matches the Rfam family "RtT RNA", at positions 1 to 107 of the family's 130-position model. From Rfam's summary of the family: This family represents a bacterial cis-regulatory element known as RtT RNA. RNAcentral also lists the same sequence under 3 other names. Lineage: Bacteria; Pseudomonadati; Pseudomonadota; Gammaproteobacteria; Enterobacterales; Enterobacteriaceae. The record is from RNAcentral.
AUAUCUCUCUGUACGGGAAGGAUGAGAAGCUUCUACCAGGGUUCGAUUCGAGCGCAGCGAGAAAGCGUUGCCGCAGGCAACGACCCGAAGGGCGAAGCGCGCAGCGCU